GUCGACACCAUCAGCUGGCUUCCUGUUUUUUUUUUUCUUUGAGUGAAAAUUUGAGUUGAGUGUGUUUGAGAUGCUUCCAUACAGUUUGUCCAAUGACUCCCACUUUACUUUUCAUUUUGCAGUCCUUUUCUUCGUCUAUCAUUUUGAUAGAAUCAGUAGAAUCAGCUGUGUGUUUUAAUCCCACCACCUUUAAGAAAGAGACCAUUUUGCUUUGACCCCUUUCUUGUGAUUUCUGCCGUGUUUUGUUAGUUUCCUAACUAGCAACCUCCCUGUCCUCCAGGAUUUGCUUUCUGGGGAAACUUAACAAAGGCAUAAGUUUGAAUGUUCAGUAUUUUGUCUUUGUACCUUUGCACUAAAAAUAAUUGGCAAAUCAUUGCAUUCUGUUUUUGAUGACAUUUUACCUCAACUCUUUAGGAGGCCCUUUUGAAACUGAAUUCAUCCUUUUUUUGUCCAGAAGAAUCACAAUUUGAGCUGUUAAACAUGCUCAACAACUCAUGAAACUUGGCACCAAAUUCAAAAAAGAUGGAACUGAACAGAAAUAAGAACAGACAGAAACUGGCAAGACGAUCAGAAACUGUGAGCGUAUGCUGAGACACCACCAGCUGAAGUGAGAGACUGUUCAGAUCAGGUGACCGAAUGAGAAACAUGUUGCUUCACUUGUCAAAUAUUCUAAAAGUUGGAUGCAUUAAGUGAGAGCCAAACAAACUUUGCCGUUAAAGAAGCCACAUGAUUUGCGGGUAUUGAAGUCGUCGGGGUCGUCAGGUGCAACGCAGCUUGUAAUUAUGCUGUGCAGCGUGUGUGUUCCCACAUGUGUACAUCUACCUGUGAGUGUGUGCGCACACAUCUCCCCCUCCCACGCACACAGCACUCCUUUGUGAGUCAUGAGUCCAACCACGACACACGAUAUGUCCGCCUCCCUCCCCACCGUCCCUGCUUCUGACAGACAGAUGAGUCAGCGACGGAUGUGCAGGCUUGUGCCAAGUGAUCAGCUUCCUCUCAUCCCCUGUCCCUCCUCCUCCUCCUCCUCCUCCUCCUCGUCCUCCUCGUCCUCCCUCGUCGCCGUCCAUCUCUACCCACAUGGCCCGGCUGACACAAAAGGCUGUGAUUCAUGCACCGAUCACCGUCUGGGUGUUUUAAAAAUAAGUCCUGCCAUGCUGGAGGAUGUGUCCCGCUGUCCCGCCAAGACAACAAAGAGGCAAACAAACGGCCGACUGUGACUCUCACACGAACCACAGGAGAUCCAGAGGACGGGUGGUUGUGUCUUUAGCAGCCACCUCAUAGCUGCACAAGGCAACUAUUGUUCUUUUAAAUGGGGAAAAGAAAAAACGUUACCCCUGUAGACCAAGAAUCAGACACAUGCAACAUUUCUUGAGACAUCUUCUAGUUGCUGUUUCUCAUCCUCGCAGGUUAUUUCUCAUAGUAAACGUUUCUUUUCCUCUCUUUUAGCUUCCUGCAGCGGCGUGUAUUGAUCUGCUAUUCAUCAGAAAGGCUCUUAAAGGGCUCUUGAAACACAGGAAUCAAUGCUAACAUGUUUGCUUUUUCACAAUAAGCCCCCUUUUCUCUAGUGUUAUUUGGCCGCGUCGCUGCUCAUUCAUGUGCAGCUCAUUAUGCAAAAAAAAUUCACAGGGCUGGAAAAGGUAUUAAUAAAGAGGAGGGCUCUGGAGUCAGCAUUUGAUGCCUCCAUUGAUCUCUGCCCCCAAAAAGCCCACAACAAGCCAUAAAAGCAUUUCAGGACAGUCGCCAAGAUGCACAUAUACCAAAGUGGCUGUGAUGCACGAGGCUUUUAAAAGGCCGGGGUUUUCUCCAGCAGCAUGUCUACAAGAGGAAUAAGCAAACAAACCUGAGACGGGGAUGAUUACUAAGCACAAAUGCGUCAUGGGAGCGUCUCGUAUCAACCUCCCA
This is a long non-coding RNA of Acanthopagrus latus (yellowfin seabream), 1902 nucleotides long. RefSeq lists it as uncharacterized. NCBI's taxonomy places the organism in Eukaryota, Metazoa, Chordata, Actinopteri, Spariformes, Sparidae. The record is from RefSeq and is a predicted model, not a curated record. The transcript is spliced from 3 exons.